CGGGUGAGUAACGCGUGGGUAACCUGCCUCAUACAGGGGGAUAACAGUUAGAAAUGGCUGCUAAUACCGCAUAAGACCACAGUACUGCAUGGUACAGUGGUAAAAACUCCGGUGGUAUGAGAUGGACCCGCGUCUGAUUAGGUAGUUGGUGAGGUAACGGCCCACCAAGCCGACGAUCAGUAGCCGACCUGAGAGGGUGACCGGCCACAUUGGGAUUGAGACACGGCCCAG
RNAcentral lists this ribosomal RNA (231 nucleotides) under uncultured bacterium. Its description in RNAcentral is "partial 16S ribosomal RNA". It matches the Rfam family "Bacterial small subunit ribosomal RNA", at positions 103 to 334 of the family's 1533-position model. The record is from RNAcentral.